AUUUUCCGGUUGAUCCUGCCGGAGGUCACUGCUAUCGGGGUUCGAUUAAGCCAUGCGAGUCGAGAGGGUUCGGCCCUCGGCGUACUGCUCAGUAACACGUGGAUAACCUGACCUGAGGAAGGGGAUAAUCCCGGGAAACUGGGGAUAAUACCCUAUAGAUUACAGACGCUGGAAUGCCCUGUAAUCGAAAGUUCCGGCGCCUCAGGAUGGAUCUGCGGCCGAUUAGGUUGUUGUUGGGGUAAUGGCCCAACAAGCCAGUGAUCGGUACGGGUUGUGGGAGCAAGAGCCCGGAGUUGGAUUCUGAGACACGAAUCCAGGCCCUACGGGGCGCAGCAGGCGCGAAAACUUUACAAUGCGGGCAACCGUGAUAAGGGAACCUCGAGUGCCUGUAUAUGCAGGCUGUCCAGGUGUCUAAAACACACCUGAAGAAAGGGCCGGGCAAGACCGGUGCCAGCCGCCGCGGUAAUACCGGCGGCUCGAGUGGUGGCCACUUUUAUUGGGCUUAAAGCGUUCGUAGCUGGGUUGUUAAGUCUCUUGGGAAAUCUGGCAGCUUAACUGUCAGCCGUCUAAGGGAUACUGGCAAUCUUGGGACCGGGAGAGGUGAGGGGUACUUCGGGGGUAGGAGUGAAAUCCUGUAAUCCUCGAGGGACCACCUGUGGCGAAGGCGCCUCACCAGAACGGCUUCGACAGUGAGGGACGAAAGCUGGGGGAGCAAACCGGAUUAGAUACCCGGGUAGUCCCAGCCGUAAACGAUGUGCGUUAGGUGUAUCGACGACCACGAGUCGUCGAGGUGCCGAAGGGAAACCGUGAAACGUACCGCCUGGGAAGUACGGUCGCAAGGCUGAAACUUAAAGGAAUUGGCGGGGGAGCACCACAAUAGGUGGAGCCUGCGGUUUAAUUGGAUUCAACGCCGGGAAU
This 918-nucleotide ribosomal RNA is filed under the name uncultured Methanoculleus sp. RNAcentral describes it as "bacterial SSU rRNA". It matches the Rfam family "Archaeal small subunit ribosomal RNA", at positions 1 to 925 of the family's 1478-position model. The record is from RNAcentral. Lineage: Archaea; Methanobacteriati; Methanobacteriota; Methanomicrobia; Methanomicrobiales; Methanomicrobiaceae.